RNAcentral lists this ribosomal RNA (885 nucleotides) under marine metagenome. Its description in RNAcentral is "bacterial SSU rRNA". It matches the Rfam family "Bacterial small subunit ribosomal RNA", at positions 212 to 1100 of the family's 1533-position model. The record is from RNAcentral.
GUUACGGUAUGAGAUGAGUAUGCGUUCUAUUAGCUAGUAGGUGUGGUAACGGCACACCUAGGCUACGAUAGAUAGGGGCCCUGAGAGGGGGAUCCCCCACACUGGUACUGAGACACGGACCAGACUCCUACGGGAGGCAGCAGUAAGGAAUAUUGGUCAAUGGACGAAAGUCUGAACCAGCCAUGCCGCGUGCAGGAUGACUGCCCUAUGGGUUGUAAACUGCUUUUAUAUAGGAAGAAAAACUUUCUCGUGAGAAAGCUUGACGGUACUAUAAGAAUAAGGAUCGGCUAACUCCGUGCCAGCAGCCGCGGUAAUACGGAGGAUCCAAGCGUUAUCCGGAAUCAUUGGGUUUAAAGGGUCCGUAGGUGGACAAAUAAGUCAGAGGUGAAAUCCUGCAGCUCAACUGUAGAACUGCCUUUGAUACUGUUUGUCUUGAGUUAUUAUGAAGUGGUUAGAAUGUGUAGUGUAGCGGUGAAAUGCAUAGAUAUUACACAGAAUACCGAUUGCGAAGGCAGAUCACUAAUAAUCAACUGACACUGAUGGACGAAAGCGUGGGUAGCGAACAGGAUUAGAUACCCUGGUAGUCCACGCCGUAAACGAUGGUCACUAGCUGUUUGGACUUCGGUCUGAGUGGCUAAGCGAAAGUGAUAAGUGACCCACCUGGGGAGUACGUUCGCAAGAAUGAAACUCAAAGGAAUUGACGGGGGCCCGCACAAGCGGUGGAGCAUGUGGUUUAAUUCGAUGAUACGCGAGGAACCUUACCAGGGCUUAAAUGUUAGGUGACAGAUCUAGAAAUAGAUUUUUCUUCGGACACUUAACAAGGUGCUGCAUGGUUGUCGUCAGCUCGUGCCGUGAGGUGUCAGGUUAAGUCCUAUAACGAGCGCA